RNAcentral lists this unclassified non-coding RNA (205 nucleotides) under Hevea brasiliensis (rubber tree). Lineage: Eukaryota; Viridiplantae; Streptophyta; Magnoliopsida; Malpighiales; Euphorbiaceae. The record is from RNAcentral.
UUUUUCGAGUUUCUAAUAUAGUUAACUCGGUUACUCAUUUAAGGGUAUAUAGCAUUUUAUUUAUUAUCUCUUGGACAUGCAGAAAAUCUUCAUUAGUUUCUUGCAACACGUGAGUAGCCUUAUACAUGAAUUAUCUUUCGUACCUUUAAUUAUAAUGCUCAUUGCUUAUCAAACAUGUAAUGAUCAAUUAUAUAUUAUAAAAGAA